CCCCUCUCAGGGACGCACCUGGAGAGUUUCCAGUACUCUACCAGUCUUGACUAUGGGAGGGAGAGUCCAGCAGAUGCAUACCCAUUCCAUUCCUAGCUUGGGCUGUGGCUAGCGAGUGGAAGGCAAUCUGCUACAAGU
This is a non-coding RNA of Ornithorhynchus anatinus (platypus), 138 nucleotides long. Lineage: Eukaryota; Metazoa; Chordata; Mammalia; Monotremata; Ornithorhynchidae. The record is from Rfam.